Molecule: ribosomal RNA, 253 nt
Filed under: uncultured bacterium
Lineage: Bacteria
Description: partial 16S ribosomal RNA
Rfam family: Bacterial small subunit ribosomal RNA
Source: RNAcentral
UACGUAGGUGGCGAGCGUUGUCCGGAUUUACUGGGCGUAAAGCGCGCGCAGGCGGUGACGUAAGUCGCGUGUGAAAUCUCCCGGCUCACCCGGGAGGGGGCGCGCGAGACUGCGCCACUGGAGGUGGGCAGAGGCCGGUGGAAUUCCCGGUGUAGCGGUGAAAUGCGCAGAUAUCGGGAAGAACACCCGUGGCAAAGGCGGCUCUCUGGGACGGUACUGACGCUGAGACGCGAAAGCGUGGGGAGCGAACAGG